Molecule: ribosomal RNA, 422 nt
Filed under: uncultured Bacteroidales bacterium
Lineage: Bacteria; Pseudomonadati; Bacteroidota; Bacteroidia; Bacteroidales
Description: partial 16S ribosomal RNA
Rfam family: Bacterial small subunit ribosomal RNA
Source: RNAcentral
UGAGGAAUAUUGGUCAAUGGACGAGAGUCUGAACCAGCCAAGUCGCGUGAAGGACGAAGGUAUUAUGUAUUGUAAACUUCUUUUAUACGGGAAUAAAAAAGGUCUUGCGAGAUCUAUUGCAUGUACCGUAUGAAUAAGGAUCGGCUAACUCCGUGCCAGCAGCCGCGGUAAUACGGAGGAUCCGAGCGUUAUCCGGAUUUAUUGGGUUUAAAGGGUGCGUAGGCGGUAUGUUAAGUCAGUGGUGAAAGUUCGGGGCUCAACCUUGAAAUUGCCAUUGAAACUGGCGUACUUGAGUACAGUAGAGGUAGGCGGAAUUCGUGGUGUAGCGGUGAAAUGCUUAGAUAUCACGAAGAACUCCGAUUGCGAAGGCAGCUUACUGGAGUGUAACUGACGCUGAUGCACGAAAGUGUGGGGAUCAAACA